Long non-coding RNA from Pongo pygmaeus (Bornean orangutan), 1263 nucleotides. RefSeq lists it as uncharacterized. The transcript has 3 exons. Lineage: Eukaryota; Metazoa; Chordata; Mammalia; Primates; Hominidae. The record is from RefSeq and is a predicted model, not a curated record.
UGGGCCCAGUGCUAAGGACUAAAGAUGAAUAAAAUGGUUCCAAUCAUGGAGCUGGGAUCACAGCUGUGCAUCUCCAUGAAGGAUGCUUCCUCCACUCUGAAGGGAGCCAGGGACUAUAGAUCAGGAACCAAAACUUGGAUAAUGAGUGGAACAUCUAUGAACACAUAGAAGAACGGUUAUAGCAAAACACAUGACUGAAUGGGACAAUAUAGUGAAAACGCAAACUAUGGCCUAGAGUGGUGAGUAGAGGCCCCAUGAAGACCUUGAGUAGACGAGGCCUCUGAGUCAUGCUCAAUGUUGCAAUGGGCAAUGUAGCUCUGACUGGGGCACUUCUCAGGGAACACUUCUCAGUAUACAUGAAAAGUAUACUCACCUGUGGAAAAGGCUGUUUUCCUUGUCCGUAAGAUAAGAUACCUCUCUAUUCCGGGUGGUCAUGUAGGUCAGAGCCUCACAGGGCAUGUGUUGAGGCUUCAUACAAUAGAAGGCUUCCUGGUCUCUGUCAUCCAGAUAUUCACAGAGUUCAGCACUUGAGUUUAGGGUCAGGCCACAUUCAGUGAAGACGUGAGAGGUGCCAUUAACAAAUUUGCCUUUGAAAAUAAUUUUAUUAUAGCCUUGGUUCCUUGCCCUCCAGAGAGCCGACGCCCCUUCACUGGGGUGGAUGAGCAGCAGAGACAGGGAGACCUGGCCCUCCCAGAACAGAGUGAAGCUGACCAGGUAGGUGCCGUUGUUGAAGUCCAUUAUCUUUCCUGAAGCACCUGCCAUCAGUGCUGGGGAGGACAUCCUGGCCCUCAGGAAAUCCCCACCAUAUUGCUUCCUGCGUCCCAAGUGGUCCCUCACCUCCAGCAGGAUGUUCAGCUGGUCUCCCCUGCAGUACAUAUCUCGAGGGUUGAGGAUGGUGGCUGUGCUGUGUGUGGCGCUGGUGGUGGUGUUCACGUGGGUGAAAGGUCUGGGUGGGAUCUGCUGAUCUAGUUUCUCUAUGAUUUCCUUUAUUCUGAGUUCAGUCUCUGUUAGUGGCUUUAAUGGUAUCAGUGAUGUCUUAGGGAAUAAGUACUUUGUGGAGUUGUUCCAGUAAUGGACGGAGAUGGAUAAGCUUAGAGCAGACCAAAGCUGAAAUGACAUGGAUUGUGAUAUACUAUGAAAUUAACCUGUCUAGUCAUUUUUACUUAUUAUGAGUUUGAAUAUUUGUUUACAGUGAAUAUUUGUAUAAUUGAAUUCAAUUUGUUACCAAAUUGAAUAUUUGGUAACAAAGUGGCAGAAUAAACC